CGUAGGGCUCUAAGAUUGGGGUUGGGGCCCAGAGCCUGGUUGUACUUGAAGGCACACAUCCAGGAGGACCAUCCUGCUGUCUAGGCCCCUCUCUCCAGUCCUUCCUCCCUAUAGAAAGCCAAGAGCACUCAUAGUCUCUGGCCUGUAGUCACUUCCAGGGGAGAAGGACCCUUCUCCACUCCCAGCCCCCUCCUGUCAACAAAUGAGGUUAUUGGUCAGGGUUUGGGAAUACCAGGAUGGGGUACAGCAGGCCUCACUUCCCUGCAACGUCAGACCAUCCCCCUUUUCUGGGAGCCUGGACCUCCUCUGUCCUCUCCACCCUUUGGCUUUCUUUUAUAGACUUAGCUCUCUCCCCUCCCUGGGCCUGGGAAGGAUCACAGGUUUGUGGCCCUUUAGACUAAUGUUGUAGACAUCCUGAGAAGCUCUACCAUGAUGCCCAGAAAGGCCCACCAUAAUCCCCAGGCCAAUUCUUUUUUUCUUUUUCUUUUUUUCCCGACCCGGAUAGGACAUUCUUCUCGAAGACUCCAAAGACCUCACUGGACCUUGCUCCAUACUCAGUUUUGCUGUGGCAGAGGGAAGGGCAGCUACCCCUCCUGUGCCCGCGAUGUCAUGCUGAUGUGUGGAACGGGCACCGGCUCUGGCAUCGGUCCCCGGCACUGACUACCUGCGUGCACCUCUGUGAACCUCAGGUUUCGUGUCUGCAGUGCGGUGACAGUCGUAUCUCCAUGGCAGGGUGUUGUCAGGAUGAGAGAUAAUUAGGUAAGGGAUCCAGCGUGUAGUAGGCCUUCAGAAGACACCAUGCCCUUCUGGGGGUCAGGUCCAAUAUAUGCAGCCUCUUUUGUUUACAAAGUACUGAUUAAUGCGGGCUCUAUGCCUUUCCUUAUCUGAUCCCUCGUGACAACUCACCGAGGGAGCUGGGUAGGUGUCCUUAUCCUCACUGAUGACGGGAACCAUGGUGCGGAGCCCCCCACGUGACUUGCCUAAAGCCACACACACGUCACUGGGCCAGCCAGCUGAGAGAGCCCCAUAACACCUCCUAAGGAGCUUGGAGAGCAACCCCUGGGCCUCCUUCCUCCAUUCUUCCCCCGAGGGUCCCACACGCAGCCCCUCACCCCUGGGGUCUGGGGGGACUUUGGGAUGAUGGCUCAGCUUCCGAUCCUCCUGCAGCCCGGGCCAUGCCCGCACUCAUGUACCUCCUCCCUGGCUCAACUAAGAGGUUUUAUAGCCGUUUACGAGCAAUUUCUGUCCAUAUAUCACCGGAGAUAUAUAGCCAGGCAAAUAUUAGGGACCCAGGCGGAGGUUUUAAGAGGCAGGUCUUACUGCUGCUGAAAGGAGGCGUGAUCGACAGCCCGCAGACACCCACCUCCCUCUUGCUCGUGGCCGGGCGGUGGCAGCAUGGACUGGGCUUCAGCCUGGAGAACUGUCUGCGGAGCUGGAGUGUCAUGCGGGUGCCCCGGGGGUGUCUGGUGGCCAUCCAAGGCUGGGCUCUGUUCUUCAGAGAGCCCUGCGAGGAGGGGGCGUGGGGGGGGGCGGUGGUGUGAAGGAGGCUAAAGAUCACAACACAGACUGGCUCGACAGGACCCCCUCUCCACACCCAAGCAGGGAGACACUGAGUUCCAGCGGGUUCGAUGCGCAGAAACAGGCGGAAGUGAGAUACCAGGGAAGUACUGCCUCCCGAAGGGCCAUGGGAAGAGACAGCCACACUGCUUUUUUGAUGGAGGUCUUUAAAAAUGGUCUGAAUGAGGAAACCCCUGGCCGGCGGGCAGAGGGCUGGACGCGUCCUCUCACACUCUUGGGCCCCAGCCCUGGGGACACUGGAAGAAGGUCUGUAGAGGAGGUCAGCCUUGACCUCCUCCACUGCUCUGGCCCCAGCCUGGCCCCUGUGCCCCCUGCCCUGUGUGGACUGCUCACCCUGCCUUGGGUGAGCGCAGAGGGGCGAGGAGAGCCUUCUUGGCUUGCGGCAUAUGGUGAGAAGAUGUCCCGGGGAAUCCUCGCUCCUGAUUUAAGCGGCUCCGACAGCUUUAUGGCGCCUCCUCGAGUGAGCCCCCAACGUUGGCCGUUUAACUUUUUUAGCGUCGUUUAACGCUUAGGCUCCGGCGGACAGGCAGGCCCCUCGGCCCCAGAGGCAGCAGUACUAAAUCAGGACACUCUGAGGCCCCGAUAAAUAAUUUUUACAGGGCACGCAGCCCAUAGAUCACCAGUGGGGGUGGGGGGAGAGUGGCUGUGAUAUUUCAAACAAUUGUCAUAUAUGACUACCCCGUGCUCUGAUCCAGGUCGUCCACAUGGCAGCCGGCUUCAUAACCACAGUCAGCUCCAGGGCCCUCUGCAUGGGGCAUGGGAGGAACAGUGGAGACACAGUUCUCUGGUGGCCCCACAGCCAACAGAUGACCCAUUGCCUGCCCUUGUCUACUGACGUGGUGCCCCAAUCCAAGCUUCCUCUGGCACUGGGAUAAUGGGGUUGCUGAGAGCAGGGUGGGCGAGAGGAAGAGAAAGAACUUUGUGUAGUCAAAAGGUCACUUUCGGACCACCUUCCUGGUCCCCAGACAACUCCAAGCCUGAGUGCUCCAAGGGACCUGGUGCCGGGACUGCGGCCAGAGGGAGGACAGACCAGAGGGCUGGAGUGCACAGGACCUGUGGUCAGCUCCCUGCCAUUCGCACCUCUAGGGAAAGGGGCAGGGCGGCAGGGGGUCAGAGGAGAGGGGAGUGUGGAAGGACAAAGACUGGAACAGCGCAGGGAGAAGGGAGGGAGGAGGACAGAAGAGCAAAGAUGGAAAGGAGAGAGAGAGAGAGAGAGAGAGAAGGGGAGAUGGACAGGGACUCACCCACAGGGGACACUGCAACAGACGGGGUCUUUUCCUAAAGCCCGGUGCCAAGCUGGAGAGACAUGGUAUGGACAGACCCGGGGCUGCAGCAUCUGUGCCCUCUGAGGGCGCCCUCCAAUUGGCUCCAGGCCCACGUUACUCUGCACCAGCUCCGCACUGCCCCCACCCUUGCCCCUCCCUUCAGUGCCCUUGCCCCGUCCCCUCAUCUGUAAGAUCCUGGGAUUUGCGGGGACACUUAAUCCAUAUGGAGCUGAUUCAUUCCCAUCUAAAUCAUCUCCAUCAGCUUCCCUAAGAGCCCUCUGAUGUGCCAGCCGCCAUUCCUCUCCCCCAGCGGUGGCGGGCUGGGGGCUGCCAGUAAACAAACCUCAGCGGCCAUCCAUCAGUCCAGCGGAGACCAUUCGUCUCUCCAGCCCUGCUCCCCCUCCCCGCUCCUCCAGUCCCUCCAUCCGUUUGUCUGUCCCUCUUCUCAACAUCCCUCUCCUAGAACCUCCACGUCUCUGCCUCGUCCAGGGUAGGAUCUUGAGGGGUCAUGUCAGCUGCCCCCCCGUCUUCACGAAGACAGGAAACUUACCCCACCCCUGGCUCAGCAACAUGGAGGUUCACCGCCUUCCGAGAAGAGAGGCCUCCAAGUCUGAUGAUACUGCUACAUGGCAUGGACAACCCAUACGCAGGGACGUUCUUUCCUCUGUCUAGCUUGUCCGUCUGAGAUCCACGUAGGAUCAUGUGUCUGAGCAGGAGCGAAGGGAAGGCUUAGUUCACUGUUUAGGAUGAAAAAUAACAACCAGAUGAACGAAGUCAGGAUCAUCAGGAAUGAUAAAUAAUACACUCCAGAUGUGGCUCCAGACAACAGCCUUGGAAAGAGCGCACCGACUCUAUAGUCACCUUGCGCGGGAGAGCCCCUUAGCGCAACAAGGGGCAAUGACACAAGUGUUGGUAACUCCUCUUUGGAGUUUGUCUUCAGGGUGGGAGACUCCGUUUUUUGGAUGUCCUUAUUGGCGACAAACCUUAACUUGUGCUUUUUGGGGAUCCGUCAAAAAUUAAUUUAUAGUUAAUAAUGGUCAUCUUGAAUAUUUUGUAGAAUGGCUAUAAAGUCCAUCUCCAAAAAAAUUUUUUAAUGUUUAUUUUUGAGAGAGAGAGACAGAGACAGAGCGCAAGUGGGAGACAGGCAGAGAGAGAGGGAGACACAGAAUCGGAAGCCAGCUCCAGGCUCCAAGCUGUCAGCACAGAGCUCAACACAGGGCGCAAACUCAUGAACUGGGGCUCGAACUCAU
Molecule: long non-coding RNA, 4093 nt
Organism: Acinonyx jubatus (cheetah)
Lineage: Eukaryota; Metazoa; Chordata; Mammalia; Carnivora; Felidae
Exons: 3
Source: RefSeq, a predicted model, not a curated record